AGGAUGAACGCUGGCGGCGUGCCUAAUACAUGCAAGUCGAGCGGUAAGGCCCCUUCGGGGGUACACGAGCGGCGGACGGCUGAGUAACACGUAGGAACGUACCCCAAACUGAGGGAUAAGCACCAGAAAUGGUGUCUAAUACCGCAUGUGGUCUUCGGAUUAAAGCUUCGGCGGUUUGGGAACGGCCUGCGCAUGAUUAGCUUGUUGGUGAGGUAAAAGCUUACCAAGGCGACGAUCAUUAGCUGGUCUGAGAGGAUGAUCAGCCAGACUGGGACUGAGAACGGCCCAGACUCCUACGGGAGGCAGCAGUAGGGAAUUUUCCACAAUGGGCGAAAGCCUGAUGGAGCAACGCCGCGUGCAGGACGAAGGCCUUCGGGUUGUAAACUGCUUUUAUAUGUGAAGAUUAUGACGGUAGCAUAUGAAUAGGAUCGGCUAACUCCGUGCCAGCAGCUGC
Molecule: ribosomal RNA, 454 nt
Filed under: uncultured bacterium
Lineage: Bacteria
Description: SSU rRNA
Rfam family: Bacterial small subunit ribosomal RNA
Source: RNAcentral